Molecule: long non-coding RNA, 613 nt
Organism: Nicrophorus vespilloides
Lineage: Eukaryota; Metazoa; Arthropoda; Insecta; Coleoptera; Silphidae
Exons: 3
Source: RefSeq, a predicted model, not a curated record
CAUAUUGGAGAGUUCAGUACGUUCCGAGCGCUCGUGGGCGACGUUUCGUAGCCGCUUGCAUUCCACGCGCAAACGCCGAACUCGAGAAUACACCUCUCCACUCAACUUACUUGCAUUUCUCAUAGGAAAAGCCGGUCGGUAAAUAAAACAUACAUACUUUAAUACAUUAAAUCAUCAUUCAGAGAUGUGAAUGAUUCCACAGAAAGAGACCAUCAGAUUCGUUUCGUCGGAUGUGAAAUUCGAUCAGUGAUUUUUGCAGUGCAGUUUUUUUUUUGUUGUUGUUGUGUGUUGUGGUUGGUGUUUGGAGCCUACUUGGAUACAACAGCAAGUUCAUAUUCCCAAUGCCAAGGCAGAAGAAGUACGUCCAGUUUUAGGUAAACUUUUGCGAUCUGCGCUGUCUGCGUUUCUCCCUCGCUGUGAAAGGGGGAUAGCGAGCAUCCAGAGACAGCGAGACCGUACUCUUGUACUUCUUCUUCUUCUACUUCCUAAUACGAGCGUCCAUCCACAAACGCCAGAUAUCAUCGUCAUCGCCCGAAGAUGGGGACUUGGAUGAGCGGCGCUGCGGCCAUCUACUGGACCUUCCUCAUCUCUUAUACUUACGGUGAGUGUAAUU